GCGGAGGGAUCAUUACCGAGUUUACAACUCCCAAACCCCUGUGAACAUACCACUUGUUGCCUCGGCGGAUCAGCCCGCUCCCGGUAAAACGGGACGGCCCGCCAGAGGACCCCUAAACUCUGUUUCUAUAUGUAACUUCUGAGUAAAACCAUAAAUAAAUCAAAACUUUCAACAACGGAUCUCUUGGUUCUGGCAUCGAUGAAGAACGCAGCAAAAUGCGAUAAGUAAUGUGAAUUGCAGAAUUCAGUGAAUCAUCGAAUCUUUGAACGCACAUUGCGCCCGCCAGUAUUCUGGCGGGCAUGCCUGUUCGAGCGUCAUUUCAACCCUCAAGCACAGCUUGGUGUUGGGACUCGCGUUAAUUCGCGUUCCCCAAAUUGAUUGGCGGUCACGUCGAGCUUCCAUAGCGUAGUAGUAAAACCCUCGUUACUGGUAAUCGUCGCGGCCACGCCGUUAAACCCCAACUUCUGAAUGUUGACCUCGGAUCAGGUAGGAAUACCCGCUG
This 502-nucleotide ribosomal RNA is filed under the name Fusarium sp. 10131. RNAcentral describes it as "eukaryotic LSU rRNA". The stretch from base 164 to 317 matches the Rfam family "5.8S ribosomal RNA". Lineage: Eukaryota; Fungi; Ascomycota; Sordariomycetes; Hypocreales; Nectriaceae. RNAcentral also lists the same sequence under 2 other names. The record is from RNAcentral.